AUGUCCACCGCGCCGGCAUCCACGGUGACUCCCUCCUCCGCGCUCACGCUCACCACUCCCUCCGCGCUCGUCCCGAUCGCCCCUGUCAUCGCCCCACCCACCGCGACGGCUCCCACACCCGUGCUUCCGCCCAUCACGGUCUCGCUUGACCGCAGCAACUUCAUGCUCUGGAGGGCACUUGCCCUCCCCAACUUCGCCGGAGUGCGCCUCCACGGUUUCCUCGACGGCUCGGCCACCGCGCCGGCGCCGACCGUGACGAUAGGCACCGGCGAUGCCGCCCGCACCGUGUCCAACCCCGACUACGAGCAAUGGUGGACGCUGGAUCAGAAGGUUCUCGGGCAUCUCCUUGGUUCGAUGAGCGUGGAGAUCUCCGCGCAGCUCAUCGGCUGCAGGUCGGCCGCCGCCGCAUGGGCGGCCGUGCACACCAUGUUCGCCGCCGAGAACAGCGCCGGCGUGCGCAACCUCCGGCGCCAGAUUCAGGCGCUGCGCAAGGGAGAUCGUCCCGCCGGCGAGUACAUGCAGAAGGUCAAGGCCCUCGCUGACUCGAUGGCCGUCGCCGGCUCUCCUCUUCGUGAUGAUGAGAUCAUCGACUAUAUGCUGACCGGGCUCGGCUCGGCGUUCAACCCCAUCGCCGCCUCCAUGAACUUCACGGGCGUGCCAAUCACGCUUCCCGCGUUCUACUCCAGCGUUCUCCACUACGAGGCCCUUCAGCAGCAGCAGUCCGAGCACGAGGAUUGGCAGUCCUCCGCCAACGCCGCGUCUCGGCCGGUCUACAACGACACUUCCGGCCGAGCCGUCGAUUCUGGCCGCCAGAGCGGUGGCCGCCCCGCCGCCGGUUCCCUCCCGCCCAGCUCGGGCGGCUACGGCAACAACCAGGGCAACACCUCUGGUCGUAACAACAACGGUGGCAAUAGCCGCAAUGGAGGAGGAAACGGUGGUGGUCGCAACCGCCGUUGGCGUCCCCGGUGCCAGAUAUGCAAUAAUUGGGGUCAUGAGGCCGGCGACUGUCGCAGCCGCUAUGAUCAUGACCACCGCGCCGCCAACUCUGCGUCCACAUCCUCCUCCCAUGAGCCACCUCACUGGAUCCUGGACACCGGCCCUGUUGCUUCUGUGCAGGAUUCUUCGGCUCCGCCCUCUCCGGCGUCCAACGUGCACCGCCCCCACGUGGCUGAUGUCCAGCCCUCCUCGGCGAUCGACGUGCAUGGGCCAUGCACGUCUCCCCGCUCGGCUCCCGCGUCGCCUGGCUCGGCUCCUGUGUUGCCAGGCUCAGUCGCCGCCUCCCCCGGCCUGGCUGGCCCAUCAGCUACAGCCGCGCCCGGCUCGCCCGGCCCGUCCACGGGCCCGACCGCCUCGCCCGGUUCCUCCGAGGCCUCCUUGCCGCGCGGUGACGCGGUGUCCCCCGCCCCGGUGGAGGCGGGCUCUGGCGAGGCGCAGAAGGUGGAGGCGGGCUCCGGCGAGGCGCACGAGGUGGAGAAGGUGGAUAAGGUGGAGGUCAGCUCUGGCGAGGAGCAGGCGGAGCAGAAGAAGGAGGAUCUUAUUGGCAACAAGAGGAAGUGGGACGCAUCUGGGUACUACCCUUAUGACAGUGAUGAGGAUGAGCCGUACGAGUAUGAAUCUGGAGAUGAUGUGGUCGAGGGGAACGCCGAGUCCUUUGAAGAGAAGGAGGAGUUGAAGAUCAGGGCCCAAGGACCUGCUAAGUACUACAACUGGAGGUGUGACAAGUACCGGUGCCCCUACUGCAGCAGGCCCAAGCCCAGGUCUGGGUUGUUGGAGCAUCUGAUGGAGCAUUGUCGGGCUACAUCCAUCAGCAGUCAUGACUACAAGAUCAGGGCUCAGCAUUCUGCCCUCCACAAGACAUGCCGCAUCAGUGUUGCUUCACUGAUCAGGCAUGCUGCAAACACUUCCCAUGCUACGGCCAUGUGGAACAUGCUGUUGCAAUGGUGCAAUAAAUUCCCAGGCUGACUGUCCGCUUCGGACAUUCUGACUGAAGAAGGCGAGGACAUGAAGGAGCGGGUGCCGCCACAAUUUCUCAAUAAGACAUCAGAAAACAUAGUGAUAGAUAAUCUCAUUGAGUACAUAAUUAAAAGUAAAGCCACCGGAGACGAUUUCCUUCGCAAAGUAGUGCUGGUCCUGUUAGGAACAAUUAUUGCUCCCAUGUCGAGCAAGAUUGUGCCAAAGCAGUACUACGCUUUGGUCUACGAUGUGAAACGUAUUUCAAAGAUUAACUGGAAUGCCUUCACCAUGCGUGUUCUCCUUGAUUGCCUUCACAUAGUGAAGAAAGGCAAACACCCGCGUCAAUGGCCGAAAGGCAAUUUGGCUCUCUUGCAGUACUUGUACUGGGAGAAGGUGCAACCGGUCCAAGGCGAAUGCGCCUAUAAUCCCAACUUGUCCAUACAACCUCUUAUGAGGAACUGGACAGAAGGUGCAGCCACUACGAGAGAUAGGUUCGACUUUGAUAAUGGGCGCGGCCGUGGUAACGUAAAGAUCGAAAAUAAUAUCACCCAGGAGUAUAGGGCUCAGGAGCCCGACAUCCCAAAUAAUGCGCCUACCAUGAAGCCAAAAACCAAGCCUGCAACUGGAAACGCAAAGAAGUCGACGACAGCCGCAUUGUCGGAAGAUUUGAUGGAGCUUGUAAUGAAGCGAUGCAUGGACUUCAUACACACCAAGAUGAGGCAAAUCCCUGAUAUAGUUGCUGAGAGGUUGUUGGAGAAGUUGAACAAAGCAGGUGUCAUGUACAAGCCGGCUGCUGCCGUGCCAUCCGCGGAGAAUGAUCCGGACGAAGUGGAUUCGUUCGAGAAUGGUCCAUAUGAAAAGAAGGAAUUCGUGUACAAGGAAGACAUGGACAGUGAUGGACACCCGAUCAUUGACAUGACGCAGCCUGAUAUAGUGCUUCCCGACCAUAAAACCGUACCUGAGAAGACCCCACUGAAGCUGAAUGGACACAAGGAAGCUUCACCUUUUAAGCGUAAUGAUGUAUGUGGGGCUACACCAGAAAACCCUUGGGUGGUUGGUACUUCUACUGUAGCACCUUCAUCGGACAUAGACAUUUGUCCAUCUUCUAUCAGCAAGUUCAUGGCUAAGGCGAAUGGAAAAAAGGGUGCAACAAUUGAUAAGGAUGACGAGGUUAUGUCCGGUAAGCGGAAGCGGACCGUUCCCAAGAAAUUUGAAUCCCCCUUCGCACUUGACAAGUCCGGCAGGCGUACCAGCCGUGGUCAGAGAGCCUCUGCUCUAUUUUUGAACAAUAAUGUGUCGGAGGUUGUGGCAGAUGAGUUGACGCCGGAAAUAAUUGAUGCUGUUGUUUCAUUUGUCGAGUUAGCUGCUAGCACUGAGAAGAACAAGAACAAAAAAAUUUACUACAGUGAAGGCCGUGGCAUAACUCUGACUUCCGAAAGGAUUCUACCGGUUAUUGAUGCUUAUAUGGGAAAUUUGGAGCUGCGUGUUGGUCAUGAUCAUUACCUCUGUCCAGCGUGGAGGUCCAAAUUCCUUGUAGAUCGUGCUAUCGCAAAUGACGGUCCAUUGCCAUCUAGCUGCAACAUGGAUAGUGCUCUGACCAAAGCUGGGGCAGUUAAUAGAGUCACGAAAGAGUAUACUGUGCGUGAUAAGACGUAUAUCGCGUUGAAUAUCGACAAUAGCCACUGGAUGACCGUGGUCAUGCAUAUGAUCAAGAAAGAAUUCCAAGUUCUCGGUUCGCUCUAUCCUCUGGACCUGACUGAGAGGACUGUUAAAGCACUGCGAAUGGCUAUAGCACAAGAUAUGCGUCAGGCAAAUCUUAUUACACCAGGGAAAUAUCUGGACGUAAGUAAGUGGCCUAUCAAGGAGUAUGACAUACCCCAGCAAGAGGAUGGGAACUCUUGUGGCCUUUUUGUCACAAAAUGUCUAGAACAUUGGGACGGGGACAAAAUCACCCGCAAAUUCAGGCACGGCCCAUCUAACCACGUGAGGGGCCCCACAGGCGGGGCUAUCUUCCCGGCAGCGCUACACCAGCCCAUUUUGCCAGGUUCACAUCGAUCUUUCCCCUUUUCUCAUUUCCCUUUCCAAAUCCCUAGCCCUCCCUCUGUAUUUGCGCCUCCAAAUCUCGACGGCGAAAGUAUGACAGCGAGCUGGGCAUCGGGCGGCGGCGGCUGCGGCGAGAAGAGCGGUGGCGACCGCAAGUUAGGUCAAACCCUGGGUCCUGCAAGCAGGUGGGCCGGAUUCAGUGGCACAGGAGGCAGCGGCGGCGGAUCUAGUGGAACAGGGGACGGGGGUUUCGUGGGCGGCGGUGGGCCAGGAGAACCCACGGCUAGGAUUUCUUCAGUGCUACACUUUGGUGGCAAAAAGGAAACUCCUAGUGCCCGUGUCUGCAUAGAUGCAGACAAUUUUGGCAGCGCACUCGGGGGAUGUGUGUUUGAGGAUGAUAUCACUUCUGAGUAUGUUGAAUGGGUUGACGGGGAGUGGGAUAGCAAAGCAAAGUCAGUCAUUAAGUAUCUUGCCAUGAAGAACAAGAAACUGGAGACUAAGAUUACAGAAUAUGAAGCUGAAAUUAAAAGGAAUGAGAAAGAAAAGAGGGCAAUGGUUAAGAUGCACAAGGAGAUAUUGCUCUAUAGGGAUAGGAUUUUAGGAUUUGGAGGUCUUCUGUAUCUUGGCCUGCUUGCCAUUAUGAUUGCUGUCAUAGUUAGCAAGUAG
Molecule: ribosomal RNA, 4662 nt
Filed under: Triticum aestivum (bread wheat)
Lineage: Eukaryota; Viridiplantae; Streptophyta; Magnoliopsida; Poales; Poaceae
Description: partial small subunit ribosomal RNA
Source: RNAcentral